UGAUUCAGCGGCGGACGGGUGAGUAACACGUGGGCAACCUGCCCUGUAGAUUGGGAUAACUCCGGGAAACCGGGGCUAAUACCGAAUAAUCCUUCGGACCUCAUGGUCCGAUGUUGAAAGACGGCUUCUCGCUGGUCCUUACGGGUGGGGCCCCCGCCCCAUUACUUAGUUGGUGAAGGUACCGCUCCACCAGGGCACCAAUGCCUAACCCAACUGGAAAGGUGAUCCGCCACCCUGGGACUGAAACCCCGGCCAAAAUCCUACCGGAAGGCACCAGUAGGGAAUCUUCCACAAUGGACGAAAGUCUGAUGGAGCAACGCCGCGUGAGUGAAGAAGGUUCUCGGAUCGUAAAACUCUGUUGUGAGGGAAGAACAAGUACCGGAGUAACUGCCGGUACCUUGACGGUACCUCAUUAGAAAGCCACGGCUAACUACGUGCCAGCAGCCGCGGUAAUACGUAGGUGGCAAGCGUUGUCCGGAAUCAUUGGGCGUAAAGCGCGCGCAGGCGGUCCCUUAAGUCUGAUGUGAAAGCCCACGGCUCAACCGUGGAGGGUCAUUGGAAACUGGGGGACUUGAGUGCAGAAGAGGAAAGCGGAAUUCCAAGUGUAGCGGUGAAAUGCGUAGAGAUUUGGAGGAAC
Molecule: ribosomal RNA, 637 nt
Filed under: Chryseomicrobium imtechense
Lineage: Bacteria; Bacillati; Bacillota; Bacilli; Caryophanales; Caryophanaceae
Description: bacterial SSU rRNA
Rfam family: Bacterial small subunit ribosomal RNA
Source: RNAcentral